Scophthalmus maximus (turbot) is the source of this 3242-nucleotide long non-coding RNA. RefSeq lists it as uncharacterized. Lineage: Eukaryota; Metazoa; Chordata; Actinopteri; Pleuronectiformes; Scophthalmidae. The record is from RefSeq and is a predicted model, not a curated record. The transcript has 3 exons.
GUGUGUGUGUGUACUUUCAUGACUUUUUUCCGUAAUUCCAUAAUCCAUUAACUAGCAUUACAGUGUUACAGUAAUGUUUUUUUCAUUAAUGAGUGACAUAUGAGGUUAUAACUUGAAGUCAAGUUACUCAGCCCAGCAACACACCAUCAAAUUUGAUUUGACUUGUCAAAGUGAGCAGCUUGUUAGCUGUCUAACCUGCGGUUUGACGAUGGGUUGAUAUGGAUUUAGUUUUUAGGGUGAAGGGUCCGGUGACAUUAUCUUGGUGCAAGGUCUUGAGGUGAGGGCAGGCGGUUACUCUUAACAAAAGUGGAGACACUAGACUCUUGUUACUGCAAACUUGUCCAAUUGACAUACUGUCUGUUCUUAACUGGUUAGUUAACGUUGACAGCUGGCAAACUUACAGGAGUAUGGUGUUGGAAAGUAGCCAAGCAGAAGAAAACUAGUAAAUUAAUUUUAAGUACAGUUUUGGAAGGAGCUUGUAUUUUACUUGAAUACUUGCCUUGUAUGCGUUUCACAGUAAUUUAUCACUUUUGACUUUGGGUAGUUAGUAUUAAAACUAUCAUUUGAUAGUAAUUAAUUUGAUUUUUCAAGUAUCUUGCCCACCACUACUAUUGUGUGUUUUACAUUUACACAUGUUAUGAAAUGUGCAAACCACAUUUCUCCUGUUGGAUACUAACUUACUGAACUGAACUUAUGCUUAUGGGACACGACGUGCCAAUCAGUGUGAAAGUUUUGGAUGAGUUCUGGAUUUCCAGUCCAUAAUUUUUAGUGGAAGAUGACAAAUCUGGAGGAACUGUCAUUAAGUGACGUAUAGAAACUUAACUGCACAGGCAAGUAAUAUUUUCUUUUCCUCCUUUUCUUCCCAUGACCACUGGCUGUGCCCUGAGAGGCCCUGCCGGCAUAGUUUGACCAUAAACAGGCAUGAGAGGAGGGCAGAGCAACACACGGACGUAACAUGCAGAUGCACACAAAGACGCAACAGAGACAAGAAAGACAAGAUGAGAUAUCAGUUUGAAUGUAAAACCUACUCCCGUUGGCAGAUAUGAAUAUGAAACAUAUAUAUAUAUAUAUGCCCAUAGUUUUUGGCAACUCAAAUGUUAGAGCUAUAAUUUCUCUUCUGUUUGAUACGGAGGACAUCGUGUUGAGUGGAUAGCUGCUCACUGCCUGAGCAGUUCAGUGCUGUGGAGCGACUGACGGCUCCAGAAACAGUUGCUAAUGCCUUAUUGUACAAUGCUGGACAAUUUAACAGCAAUGUACCACAGACCACAACACACACACACACACACACACACAUCCACGCAAAUCCCCCUGUGUUGCUGCCAAGAUGGGCUCCCUACCCAGCCGCUCACUAUACUCACAGCUGUAGACAUGCGUGUCGUAUUAAGAGUGGACAGGAACCUCGGACAAUACACGGGGCGCAGGCAUGACUAUAAAGAGGUGGCGGUGAAGAAGAGAAAAGAGGGUUAGGUCAUCUGGAAGGACGUUUAUCACUCAAAGCCCAAAGGUGAAACGAGCGAGGAGGAGGUGAAGAAGGAGAAGCAGAGGGAAAGGCAAAAUAGAAAAGGCAAAAUGUGGAUUUAAAAAAGAUAUAGAUUUAUGAGCGAGGGAGUGGGAAUAAGGAAGACAGGAUCUGGGAUUAGAGAGUUGGGGGAUAACAUGCAGUAAAUAGUCCGGCUGAUGAGAAUCAAACCCAGGGACCUGCUGCUGAAGGUGUACAGUACAGUACAGUACAUCCUCAACAUUCAGCCCCCCCCCCUGCCAACAGGAUGUACAGAACCAUAUGAUCGGAAGAGGAACAGGAAAGAAGGAGACUCCACGAGAAUAGCUUUGGGAAACUGGUCUCUGUGUAACAUGAGUUUCCCGGUGGUUCUAACACACUCGGGGCCCUGUUGGGGCCCUCCUGCUUUCCAUCUCUCUGUAAGUUAUGUAUUUCUAUGUACGUACUGUGGCAUAGAAAACUUCAGGGUCAGACAGGGGACAGAUACCGGUCAUAGUUUUCGAAGACGAUCAGCACACGGUCUCUCCACUGCUUGUGCCAACACCAUCAUGCACUGAUGGAAACCACAAAUGUUCACAGCAUAAACUUUUCAGUCUCUAUAAAAAGAAAAUAAUCAAUAUAUAUGUAUUUUUUCACUUUCUCUAAGCAAAUUUUUAUUUUUGAACUUAACAUGACAAUAUAACCUAGCCCGCUUCUUUGUAGACUGCACUCAAUAAAGGGAAGUAGUAGGAGUGUACGCCAUGUCUAAAAAGUACUUAAGUGCAUCAACUUCUAUCUGCAUGACAAUAAUAGCAAUACUGUACUUUUUGAUUAGCCUCUUCCAGCCUGUCUGUGUUUUUUUGACUAUUGUCACAGUACAAAAUCCCCCGAAAACAAUAAUCACGAAACACUAAUUCAGGAAAGAAGCAAGAGUAAAUCUCAAAUUAAAGCACACACUGUGUGUAUACUUCACACCGUGACAUCCAAGUGAGCCUCACGUGGGUUUAACAUACUGUAUCAUUUUAAUGUUCAUGAUGGGUUGAGGUUUUGUUUAGACUGUGAGGUACAGAUGUUUAAGCACUGCAGCAAGCUACACGGCUCAUCAGAUCAUGUACUGUGAGCCAGAGAGGUAAUAAGAGUCCUUCCAGAUGUUGCUCUCUCCCGAGUUAGUGGUCCUCCUCUUACACUGGCAGCAGCGCUUGUACUGUGCAAGCUUAUCUACCAGCAGCUGACCGGCAGACCUGACCACAGGGAGACAGAAAAACAACAACAAAAAACGGAAGAAUAAAUGAAAACAUGUCACCCUACAUGAAUGAUUUAGGAAUCUGUGUAAGCAAGUCACUGACAAGCUGCAUCAUCUCAGGUUCAACACAAUCAGUGUCAUUUAAAAUCAAACAGCAACGACGGAGAAGUUCAGUCUUUGAAUACCAGCAAUCAGGAGAUUAUCUACUCAGAGUGAAAGAGCAGUGUGUUGUAGACUUUCAAUAUUUGAAAUUUUUACAUUCAAUCAAACCACUUUUUUUGUAAUAAAAGAGAGAAAUCAUCAACAAAAACAGAGCUUCAAGAGAGUGGAUAUUUGAUUCACAGUAUAAUUGCCAGGUGGCCAGAAGAACAGCUCUAAAUGAAACUAGUGUCAUGUAUAUAUAAAUUAAUCACUGUACGAUUGCUAGUUUGCCUACAUAUGACUUCGAAGUUGAUGACAUGUGAAUCUUCUUUUAGUAAUUUUAUGCUCUGUCCAGAUCACUUAUUAAACGUCUAAAGCUAA